ACCAUCCAUACACGCACAUCACAAUAGAACAGCCAUAUAUGGUAGGCUUACGCUGGCGAUGGGCAAUGGUUUCCUUCUUUUUAUUAGAAACCCCGGUCCUCGCGCGCCUAUCAUUUCAAAUACUGAUUUUAGAGGGAAGAGAUUUGGUAUUCCAAUCCUUAGAUGAGUGUUUUAGUGAGAGAGAGGGUAGCCGGCUUAAUUAAUUUACCUUGAGAUCCGAGAGAACUCUGCUUCUUUCGAUCCCUAGCUUUUCCUCUCCAACCUCAUACAGUGCCCCAUACCUCCAUGAUGUCAAUUGCAAGGUCUUCCGCUUGCCGAUAGUGAGAACUCCACUCUUCCACAGCUUUUCCUCUCCGACUUCACACAGCCCACAACUGCUCCUCCUCGUCAAUCAGGAACCCUUUUGCUCGCUGAUCAACGCUUCCGCUCCGGGAUCAGGGGAGUAUCGUCAAUCGCUAGAUCAUAAAUUUGGAACCCAAGCUGCUGCCCCCAUGUACCUCCUGCAGCAUGAUUACCUCCUCACCAUGCUUCUGCCUCCAAAUCUAACCAAAAGGUAUCGGAUCUCUGAACCAAGUUUUUCUUUCCCUAUAGAGAUGCUUGGAAGGUUCAUCUUUGUUUUGCAACGCAUAGAAGGCUUAGUUUAAAGGGUAUAUACAUUUAGAAGGAUUAAUUGGAGAGAUCUCACCCCCAUAUUAUUUAUGCACAUAUAUUAAGGAUUUUUGUUCAAAUAAAACCGAGUUCUGCAUGACUUGCAAGGAAUUAUGUUACGGUUUGAUAGAUAGAACCGAAAUAUUUUGCUUUUAUUUUGUAUUUUGGGGUAUUUGAUAAGAUAUUCUGUAGGUAUGCUUUUUGUGCUCUGUUUUGUUGCUGGAAGAAAUCUCUGUUUUUGUGCUCACAUGACUUUUCCAUUGAUCCACGUUGAUUCUGCAAAAUUAAAUUGUUACUUCUGUACAAUUUGACUGUUUAUGGGGUUGCUAGAGCCCCAUUGUGAAGUUCUGUAGGGAAUGGAGACAUAAAGCCUAAAACUGAGAAUUUUGGGGAUGUAGAAAAAUAUGAAGAAGAAUUAUAGCAAUUGUUGAAGCAAAUUGCUGCAUCUUUAUGUAAUAUUGUAACAAUGUGGGGAAGUUGGAAGGUUAUAGCAGAACUCGAUCGAUAAUUCAGAACCGGUUGAGCACAAUAAGCUCAUUUUUUAAAUACUCAUUAAUCAAUGCAAUCUAUACAUAGUUUAUUCAUCCAACUUUAGAGUGCAUUUUGCACAUAGCAUGGCUGUUAAUUCUGCAUAUUUAUAUUUUUAUUUAUGCACCAUAUACAAAGCCCAUCCAGCACACUAAUUGUAGCCAGCUUAUGACAUGAGAAGUUUCGACAAUGAUCAAGUUGAAUUGUUUGAAGCCCAAUAUCUUGCUCUGAUAUGUGCAUAUGAUAUUGCCCCCUUUAUAAUAGCUCACACCCUUAAAAUAGAAGAGCAUGAUCUGAAACUAGUACAUUUACAGAAAUCUAGUCUUUUAUUUUUAUGUUUUACCAACAUAUUUCAGUAUUCUUUUUUGAGAAAUGUACAUGUUGCAGCAUUCUUAUGAACCAUAAUUUGCUUGCUAAGAAGUGAUGUUGAUCAAGAUGCACGAAUAAUUAUAAGGGUAGUAUGUAAAAUUAUAUGGGCAGCAUUAUCAAUAGCAAUAUGCUAUCCUCAAAAGGCUACUAUAGAUUUCCUUUUGUCACGCCCUGAACCCGGAGUGCGACAGGCGCUGUAUGUUUGUACGGCGGACCGUACAGGCAGGCAUGGCAAUGGAUCAUAUCAAAGCAAUGACAGAUCCUUAAAAUUUAUUUAAACAUUAAUUUAUUCAAAAAGUUCUUACAGUAGUUUCAAAGUAGCAUGUGGUAAAAAAAAUCUAACUAAUCUAACUAAGAUAUCAACAACCGAAGAAUCUUCAGAAAAUCUAGCGCACACCCGAGUCCUGUGUGAUCAUGCCUCUAGAUCUGAAAAACAGAGAAAAUAUGAUAAUGAGCUACAUUAGCCCAAUAAGCAAUAUAAUACCCCAGAGUGGGGACAAAGUAUGACAGAUAUUUAAUUAAAAUACAAAAUAAUGACUGAAAAAUAAAUCACAAAUAAAUAUAUUUUUUUAAAAAUUUAUUAAGCAUUUUUAUAAAAACUGAUACUAGGAUCCUAACAUCAAUAGGCUAUGGCGACGUAACCCAGUAGCAUGGGUUGCAUAAAGUGCCGAAAACCACUAUUAUUAACCACCGGUGGCAAUGAUAUCCAAAUACCACUAUUUUAAUUACUGGUGGUGCGGUGCUGAAAUUGGUUUCUUACAGAUUAUAAGUUGAUGGCCAAUGAAUAAUUUCCAUUGGCGGGGCCAUAUUAUAGCCAUGCUGAGAAUACAUACAUACAAAAGAGAUAACUUGCCCAGUCAUAUUUUUCAGAUUUCAUAACACAUACAUAAUUUUAAAAUGAUUAUUAAUAUUCCUGACCCAUUUUACUAAGUACAAAACAAAAUAUCAGAAUUUAAUCAACUAAUUAUUAAUUUUACCAAAAAUUUGGAAAAUACACUUUGAAGUAUUAUGUUAUUUAUCCCUUUUUGUUUUAAAUCUCACUUCAGACAAAUGUGUCAAAUACACUUGUUUAAUAUCAUUAAAAUAUUAUUAAUUUUAAUAUCAUUCCAGGAAUCAAAAUUAAACACUACUAUCUCAUGCUUCUAGAUUAGGUUGGUCGGGUGAGAGUGCCCGACUACUCAGGUUAGUUCGAGCCAGAAGGAUUCAAUGGGUCAGAUAAAGAUCAAAAGUAGUCAAAUCUAGCUGGGGCUGAAGCAAUGGUUGUGUGGAGUGAUUGAUUAUAACCCUAUUUGAUUUUGAUGAGCUCAAAGCAUUUGAGUAUAUCUUAUGUUAUACUAAUGAAUUCAAUCUAGUGUUUCAGCCAAAUAUUUGUGAAUUUAUGUUUAAUUAUCUCUAGCUUUGGUUCAAUACAUUUUGGCUAAGUAUGGAACUCAGUUUGAACCAAAGUCUGGAACUAGAGUCGACUCCGGAAGAUUUCGAGUCGACUCCAAGUGUUUCAGACGUUCUGGCACAGACUCGAGUCGACUCCGACUGAGAACAAACAGCAGGACAGAAAGAUGAAUCUCAGACCCUAUCACCGAGUCGACUCCUGAAGAAUUCGAGUCGACUCCGAUGCUUGCCGAGUCGUCUCUAGUAAAGUGCGAGUCGACUCCAAGGAGUAACAGACAGAUUGACAGAGAAGUUGUUUUGGACUCUGAGAGCCGAAUCGACUCCAGAAGAACUCGAGUCGACUCCAGAAGAACUCGAGUCGACUCCGACGGUUGGCGAGUCGACUCCUAAAGAAGCAAGAGUCGACUCUCAGAGGAAUGCAAGACUAAAAGUCAGAGAGCCAACUUCGGUGUCUGAGAGCCGAGUCGACUCCAGCAAAGUCCGAGUCGACUCCGAGGCAGUUCAACUCCAAAGACAGAAGACCAGUUUUUCGGUGUCUGAGAGCCGAGUCGACUCCAGUAAAGUCCGAGUCGACUCCGAGGCAGUUCAACUCCAAAGACAGAAGACCAGUUUUUCUGGCUCUGAGAGCCGAGUCGACUCCAAGAGAAUCCGAGUCGACUCGAGGAAGUAAACCCGAAAGAAAGAUCUUUGGAUUCCUGAAGAACGAGUCGUCUCCAGAAGGGAGAAUCAUCUCCGGACAUUGGCGAGUCGACUCCAGGUUUAGCCAAGUCGACUCCAGAACGGGACAGCACUUUAUUUCAAAUUUUGAACAGUGGGCGAGUCGUCUCCAGUAAAGCAUGAGUCGACUCCAGCAACAGCCGAGUCGACUCCAGAUCGAGCGAGUCGACUCCAAUCCCAACGGACACUUUGUCAGGAGUUGCAGAUUGUGCAGAACGGCUCUAAAAGUGUGUCUAAUGGCUAGUUUUCGAUGGGGAUUGCUUAAAUAGCCAGAGUGAACAGUAAUAGAGCAAGAAAGAGAGACUCCAUUCAAAGCAAAAGGGANNNNNNNNNNNNNNNNNNNNNNNNNNNNNNNNNNNNNNNNNNNNNNNNNNNNNNNNNNNNNNNNNNNNNNNNNNNNNNNNNNNNNNNNNNNNNNNNNNNNNNNNNNNNNNNNNNNNNNNNNNNNNNNNNNNNNNNNNNNNNNNNNNNNNNNNNNNNNNNNNNNNNNNNNNNNNNNNNNNNNNNNNNNNNNNNNNNNNNNNNNNNNNNNNNNNNNNNNNNNNNNNNNNNNNNNNNNNNNNNNNNNNNNNNNNNNNNNNNNNNNNNNNNNNNNNNNNNNNNNNNNNNNNNNNNNNNNNNNNNNNNNNNNNNNNNNNNNNNNNNNNNNNNNNNNNNNNNNNNNNNNNNNNNNNNNNNNNNNNNNNNNNNNNNNNNNNNNNNNNNNNNNNNNNNNNNNNNNNNNNNNNNNNNNNNNNNNNNNNNNNNNNNNNNNNNNNNNNNNNNNNNNNNNNNNNNNNNNNNNNNNNNNNNNNNNNNNNNNNNNNNNNNNNNNNNNNNNNNNNNNNNNNNNNNNNNNNNNNNNNNNNNNNNNNNNNNNNNNNNNNNNNNNNNNNNNNNNNNNNNNNNNNNNNNNNNNNNNNNNNNNNNNNNNNNNNNNNNNNNNNNNNNNNNNNNNNNNNNNNNNNNNNNNNNNNNNNNNNACUCAUUAAGUUUUUAAUUUGCAAUUAUUACUUAAAAUCCAAUUCACCCCCCCUCUUGGGUUGUCUUCUUGGGCAACAGGUUGGUCAACUGCUCGGGUACCGGAGCGGUUCAAGGUCUCUAAACUGGGUCAACUUGGAUUUGGGUAACAAGAUUAGGGCUUGAUGGGGGGCAAAAUAGAUCGUCCUACUCAGGGCAAGGGAUCAUCCCAUCCCGGCCGAGCAGACGCCGACACCAACCAGGCAGGACCUCGGUCCCACUCAGAACCAGCCUAAUCUUGGACUCCGCCGAAGGCUCAAUUGACCUCGGCCGGAUCUCUCCGCUGCUACGACCUGCAGCAACCUCUUCUGAUGCUUAUAAUGAUGUUCUGGGCCCGAGCUCGGAAUGCCCUAUUGUGUCAGCUGCGAGUCCAAGAGCUUCUUCAACUGCAGGACUACUUGCUGAUGCGCCCCUUAUAUUCGCCUUUACAUUCGCCGACAUGCCUCAACUCAAGCUCGGGGCGUUUUUACAUUCGCGGACAUGCCCCGACUCGAGCUCGAGGUGCCCUUUAUUGUCGCCAAUGCGCCCCAACCGAGCUCGGGGCGCCUCUUAUAUUCGCCGAUGCGCCCUAGCUGAGUCGGGGUGCCUUUAUAUUCGCCGACAUGCCCCAAUCCAAGCUCGGGGCGCCCUUAAUAUUCAACGAUAAGCCUCGGCCAAGUUCGGGGCGCCUCAUCUAACAACGUGCCCCGACCCUUGAGCUCAGGGCGCUCUAUCGAGCAAACCUCGAAAUCGGAGAAGCUAGGCCGACCUUAGCACCCGCCAAGCCGACCUCGCCGAGUACACGAUGCGACCCCUCAUCGAGCUUGGCCUCGCCCACGACCGUAUCUACAUGUGUGCCCACGCUUGCCUACGUGGCCGUGCAUUACAACAUCACCGUGCCAUGCUUUGCUUGCUGGCCAACAACAGUCAAGGACAACGCCAUGUUGCUCCAGCCAUACCCCGUCACACCCAUCGUCUUACCGUUCAUAGGAACAACCUACGCCAUGCGCGUCAAGCAAGCUCUAGCUGCACGCCAUCUGUCUAAAAUCCAUCUCCUCCCAUGAUGAGGACGGGCCAUACCUCUGCCACUUGGACACCUCUACGAGGACUAUAAAUAGCCUCAUCAUGUAACACUACAGGAAUUUUUGGACCAACUAAGAUCCACCCUAACUUGAGCGUUGGAGGACCCUCACUGGAACUACUGGUGAGGCUUUGUGCAGGCACACCAUCGCGCAGAAAGUGGCUCUCUCUUUUACUCCAGCCGGCAGCUCCCUCGACUCUCCCGGUGUGGUCACCCUCGAGCUAAAUUUGAACAAUAUUUGGCGCUAGAGGAAGGGCCUAAGUCGUGAUCAUGAGGUUAAGGAGUUACAGAGCUCCAAAUGCAUCAAGUAGCUGGGUACCAACACCCGGCAACUUGCUUCAAAGUCCACCCCCUGCAGCUCCUGCACCAGCGGACCAGAUUUCUCAGGUCUAGCCAGAGCAGUUUGAUCUGCUCCUUCAGCAGGCCCAAACAUUGACUGCGGCCGUCCAAGGCCUGCAGCGAGGCGGGGUCCAGUCUGCACCCCCUUUUCGCGGACGUAAGUCCAUUGGACGUCACCCGCGGCGUUGUUCUCCUGCUAGGCAACGCACGAUGAACGACGAAAGGGAGCCUCGCCACCAUUGAAGCUUCCAUCGAGCUUGAUCCCCAAGCCAAGUGGCUCGUCGCGCAGCCACCGCCUUGAGAGCCUGCAUUGAAGCCCAACACCCCGAUCACAGGAGCAACUAUCAGCGACAGGGUCCGCCCCAUGACGGGAUGCCUGUAGCAUCGACCAAGAGCCGGAGAGGCCCCGUCAACCACAUGCAACGACACCCCCCCAAGCUCAACAGAAAAAUCGAGGAGUUGGAGCGACAAAUUCAAAUGCUUCGAGAACAAGCUCCGAAGUGCGACGUCGACGUUGACUUCAUAACCGAGUCUCCGUUUUCGUUUCCUCGACGAGGAGCUGAUGAGCCAAUCUCCCAAAGGUUCAAGAUGCUGCAAUAGAGCCAUAUGACGGCUCAUCCGAUCCUUUGGAUCAUCUGGAGAGCUACAAGGCUCUUAUGACACUCCAAGGGGCUACAGACGUCCUACUUUGCAGGGCCUUUCCAGCAACUCUUCGCAAGGUAGCUCACCUUUGAUUCUCUGGGUUGAAGCCCAGCUCAUUCCUUUCCUUCGAGUAGCUAGGCAGGCAGCUUGCCACCCACUUUGCUGCCAGCCGGCGUCAGUGUCGGAUCUCAGACUCCCUCUUCGCCAUCAAGCAGAGAAAAAGAGAAUCCCUGAAAGGCUAUAUCGAUUGCUUUACCUUGGCCACAUAGGAGGUUCGCGAUCUCGACCAGUCCAUCGCCAUGUUGGCGUUGAAGACUGGAGCUUGGUCCUACAAGUUCCACUUCUCCAUCGAGAAAAGCUUCCCUGCCGACUUUGCAGAAGUGUUGGCUUGAGCUCGAAAGUACGCCAAGGCUGAGGAAUCCAUGGCCUCUCGGCGCGAGGCAGCCAAGCGGCCUACUAAAAUGCAGAAGAAGCGCCACGAGGAACGCUUCCGCCCAAGGAUCAGAUCCCCCAGCGCGAGAAGAAUCCUCCUCGGCUUAGGAGCCCGGUUCGCUCGAGGUCUCCUUCCCAAAAUCUCAAUAAAUACACUCCCGUUCUUCAAGAUCCUCAAGAAGCCAAAGGAUUUUGUAUGGUCCGAGGAGUGCCAGCAAGCCUUUGAAGAGCUCGGACGCUAUCUUACCUCUCCUCCUCUGCUUACAAAGCCCUAGUGUGGGGAGGUUCUCUACCUGUAUCUUACAGUCUCUCCAACCGCAAUGAGCUCGGUACUAGUCCGAGAAGAAGACAAAUGCCAGAAGCCCAUAUUCUAUACUAACCGAAUCCUGCGAGAUGCGGAGACUAGAUAUUCCAAGUUAGAGAAAACAACCUACGCACUCGUCACCUCGGCCCGUAGGCUUCGACCAUACUUUCAGGCGCACACUAUAGCAGUGCUGACCGACCAACCUAUACGGCAAAUUUUGCAGCGGUCAUCGAGCUGGAAGGAUUGCAAAAUGGGCAGUUGAGCUCAAAAAAUUUGAUCUUGGGUACCGCCCUAGUCCGGCGAUUAAAGCUCAAGCGCUCGCCGACUUCUUGGUGGAGUCCACCUUGCCGGACGACCCUCAAACCGAGCUCAACCGAGAAGAAAAAGAUGCUCCCGAACGGCCAUGGAUCCUAAUAUCGACAGCUCCUCGACUUCGGGGGGCAGCACAUUCCACUUUAGCCCAUAAAGGAGUUAGGCUGGGAAUGUUUUAUAUAUGAGCUUCCAAGGAAUGUUUGUUUUUUUUUUGGUGCAACGGCGGCUCACACACUACGGGUGUGAAUGCAGCUAACAAAAUCAAAAAAUAGAACACUACGUAAUGGCUCUGGAGCUUUAGAUAGAUAAUCUUCUUUUGAGAGUAGCUAAAGGCUUUCUUCUUUGAUUUUUAAAAUUAAUGAAUUAAACUCAAAGCAAUAGAUUAAUCAACUUUAUAGUCAACUAUUUUGCAUAAUCAAAAUAAAUCCUUUAGGGUCAAUAGGUUGUGCCUUUGGAGACUUCAUGAUAACAGGUUAUUUUCUUUUUAUAGAUGAGACCUCCUAUAAUGGGAUCUUUGAUCCUUCCUCUAGCUCAAAUCUGUUGCCGCUAAGGCCCGGCCUGUCUCGGGCGCUAAGUGGGAGAGGUGCUGGAGGGCUCGGCCAUAUGCUACUUGUGUCGUGCAAGGCUUCGACUCAAGGUGGAUGGUUGUAAUCAUGAUCCUAAUCCGCAAUCGAGCUCCGACCUAAAACAACAAAGAUAAUGAAGUCUUCUUGCUAGAGUGUGUUCAACGUGGGACCUUUCAAUGCCUAAGUCAGAACGAUACUCAGGGAACAAAGGAGGUUGUCAGCAGUCUAUCAGGGCACCUGAGCACUUACUUAGAUGAUCCCUCGGAGUGUGGAUUGUAUAGGCGAAGGCAAGAGCCUGUCGCCCUAGAAUUCGGGCACGUCGGUUGGCCAGGUUUGGCAAGCCUCUGCAAGUUCCGAGAAUAAGGUGCGAGUGUUUCGCACGCGGAUCAUGUCUUCCCUUUUGCCUUGCAUGAUCUUAAAGGCUGCUCGAGAUUUUAGCCGACGUGUCGCUAGCUGUAGGGAGUCUUUGAAAUUUGAAUUCAGCCGUGCACUUCUAAGCAUGCCACAUGGCGGGCUCUAGUUGGCAGUCUGUAGGCUUUGUGGUGAGCUUUGGUUGGCCGGCCUUUCAUAUGAGUCGUGAUCGGUUCCGAGGCAUCUCUGGUGCUAAAGGAUAGUAGCAUUCAAGCAUAUUCUUCUCCAAAUAUUGGAACAUCCACAAGGUAUAUUGUAGGUAUUCCAAGAUUUGGGAAAGUGGUACCUAGCACAUUCCACUUUAGCCCAUAAAGGAGUUAGGCUGAGAAUGGCUAGCAAUCCUACACAUAAAUGCCUUUUGCCUGAUGCUUAAAAGUUGAAGACCUAGGUCCCCAUCCGAUCUAGGAAGACACAAUGUUCCAAGGUGCAGCACCUUUCUAUCAACCAAGUGCCCUUGUAGGAAUGCUUUGAAAUACUUUUCCAUUCUAAUCAAAACAGAUUGAGGAACAUUGCAACUUGACAUGAAAUAUAUUGGAAUAGAGGAGAGCACAGAUUGUAGCAAGGUCAUCCUGCCAGCAAAGGACAAAGCCUUCCAUUUCUAAUUGUCAAGUUUGGCAUUAAUUUUUUUCAUUAUCGGAUAAUACUCAGCUGCAAAAAGUUUGCAACCAGAUCAAGACACUCCUAGAUAUGUCCACACCCUUACUUUGACGAGGAUUUGCAAGAUACUUCUGAUUUUUGCUUUAACACACAUAGGAGUGGAGGGACUGAAAGAGAGAUGUGAUUUAGUUAAGUUGACACUUUGCCCAUGGUAGGUACAGUAUAAAUCAAUAAUUCUCUUGAGACACAAGCAAUCUUUUUUUCUUGCCCUAUCCGCCAAUAGACAAUCAUCCGCAAAUGCAAUAUGAAAAAUUAGGCCCCUCUCUACUAAUUUAUAGCUCCUAAGCAUACCUCUUUCAGUAGCUUGUUAAGGAGUCCUUGAAAGCAUUUCAGAACAUAAAAAACAAGAAGGAUGAUAAGGAGCAUCCUUGUCCAAGUCCUAACAUUGAAGAAACUAGCUCGAUGGAGAUCCAUUGACCAAGACAGAGAAUCUGGGAGCAGUAAUGCAAGCCUUAAUCCAAAAGAUCAAUCUGUCAUGAAUGCCAAAAUAAGUGAAGACGGCAAAUAAAUAAUCACAUUUAACUCUAUAAACCCUUUCCAUGUCUACCUUAAGUACCAUUAACCUUUUCCUAGUAUAAGCCUUCUCCAAUGAAUGCAUUAUUUCCUAUGCUGAUAAAAUAUUAUCAGAAUCUGGGAGCAGUAACGCAAGCCUUAAUCCAAAAAAGAUCAAUCUGUCAUGAAAGCCAAAAUGAGAGAGGAUUGCAAAUAAACAAUCUCAUUUAACUCUAUCAUAAACCCUUUCCAUGUACCAUCAACCUUUUCCUAGUAUAAGCCUUCUCUAAUGAAUGCAUUAUUUCCUAGGCUAAUAAAAUAUUAUCAGAAAUAUUGAGAUCAUGAGCAAAGGCUCCUUGAGCAUCAGGUAUCAAGGAUGGAAUGAUUGAUUUCAUUCUAUUUACUAGAUUUUUUUUAGUCACAAUUUUUUUUAGUGGAUAACAAAGAUUAGCUGGUCUGUAAUCAUUCAGUGGCACUGGAUUUUGUUUAUUUGGGAUGAAGGUUUUAAACGUUUCCUUCCACGAAAAAGGCAUAAAAGUAGUUCUGAAAAAAUAUUUAAUAGCAAGGAUUAUCUCAUUUUCUAUGAUAGGUCAAAACUCCUUAAGGAAUAGUAGUUGAAAGCCAUCAGAACUAGGAGCCUUAUCCGAGUGCAUACUUUUUAUUGCAUGCUCAAUCUCCUCCAAUGUAACUGCUGAGAUUAGCCUCCCAUUCUAAUCAUCACUGAUCUUCAAGGAGACUGGACGCAUCCAGAUCUCAUCUAUGCAUUGGUUUACAGUCCCUUUUUUGCUGAAAUCAUACAUAAGGGUCCGUCUAAUCUCAUCAUCUUCUUCCACCAUUUGUCCAUCAAGUGCUCUUAUCGUUGUCAUUCUAUUCCUUCAAUUUCGCAGAAUGGUAUACCAAUUGAAGAAUUGAGCGUUGGGAUCACCAUCUUCGAGCCACUGGAUUCUAGAUUUUUGCCUCCAAAAAAAUUUCCUGCAUGCAAAAAUUCUUGUUUUAUAGCCGAAGUAAUUUCAAUAAUUUCAUGUGCUCCUAAUGAUUAAGACCCCUAUUUUGAGCAACCUCAAUAUAUAGAUCAAGGAUUUCAUUAUUAUCACUCCCUUCUUGAAAAUUUUGCCAAUAUAUUCUCUGUCCCAUCUCUUGAGGGCUUCUGUGGCGUUCUUGAGCAACAAAGGUACCUCGAUACAUGGAGAAGAAUUGCCACAGCAUAUCCAAGCUUGUCAGACUACUUGUAUUUCUUUGCAAGAUGACUAGAAUUUUUCAAAAUGAAAAAGAUUAGUAUUAUUAAGAAACUUAUCCAUGGCAAUAAGUAAAAUAGACUAGCGAUCAGAUGCAUAACAAGCCAAAUGAUGCAACUUAGAUUCAGGAAAGAGGUCCCUUCACUUGCUUGAGGCAAACACUCGAUCUUUCCCAAACAUGAGCAAGACCCAUUCUAUUGUUGCACUAGGUGUAAUUAGGACCCUCAAAAUCCAGUUCAGUUAGACCAUUGGAUUGAAGGAAUUUUUAAAAUUCUGUAACAUUUCUGUGAAUAUGAAAGGCCUUGCCCCCUUUUUGUCAUUAGCACAUGUAUUACCAUUAAAUUCUCUAGUUAGAGCCAUAGGUAUACCCAUAGCAAGUUCAUUAAAGGUAUCUUCCCAUAUUAUCCUCUUUUCCACAAUAUUUGUGCUAGCAUACACAAUAAUAAGAAUCCAUGAAGGAUAUAUAGGUUGAGAUAUAUUACCGAAGACUACUUGUUUGUUUGCAUAUAAAGUUUGCAUUACCCAGAUCCUUCCUUCAUAUAACAAUAAUGCCACCAGAUAAAACCUUUGCAGGCACAACAAAGAAAUUCCAUAGAUGAGCAAUGAAUCUCUGAAUUCUAGGGAAAAAAUUCUCAGAGAUUUUUCUUGCAAGAAGGCAAGAAAUAUCAGGACUAUAACUACGAAUUAAAUUUUUAACAUAAUUUAAAAAAGGAAGGCUGAGCCGCUCCCCUACAAGCCCUAUGGAUGAUUAAUAAGUCUACUAAUUUAUUUUAGCUAAUGUGAGCUGCUUCAUAUAUGUCAUUAAUGCCCAAGGAACUUAUUCUAGUUGCAAGAUUGUAAUGAAAUGAGAUAAUAUUUGAAUAUGCAUCGAGUUGUACAUUUCCUCUUUCAACUUUUAUCACUGGAUCUGUGGAGGAAUAUUAUUGCUGCAUGGUUCAUGCAUCCAACAUACCAUUGUUCAGAAGGGAUUAGUUGUUAAUUAUCAUGAGAAACACCUAGAGUUCAUUGCAGAAUCACGCAAUGAAAAUAAAUAGACAACAAUCUGUGUAAAGUUUGAAGAUUUGCAUUCUAGGUAAUAUUCUGAAAUUUGCUAGGUAAUUAUUUUGGUUUGUUAAUACUCCUUGUCAAGUGUUUCAGCCAUUUGUAUUACAUAAUUAAGUCCUGAUCUUUUCUAAGAAAUCCACUUCUUUACUCAAGCGACUCCACUUUCAAGCCUAAACACAGCAAAGAGGUUACCAAGGACGCUUAGUAGGAAUCAGCUGCCACUGUAAUCCAUGUGCCUUGAAAAAUGAAAUUUCAUCGCUAAUCUGUAGUGGAUUAUAAAUAAGAAAAAUUAUAAACCUUGCAUGAGAAUUCAUCUGACCAAAAAAUAUAAGCAAAUAUGACCAGUAACCAACAAUCAUAGAGAUACAUAUAAUAACAAAAUGAUGAAAUACUUCAUGCUAAAGUAGCCUGGUAAGAGCAGCAGAAAACAGCUACAGCUGACCAUAAGACCAUCUAAACAACAAGAGAAACAUCAUGCACCACUAUUCAUUUUUCAGAUUCAGCUUACAGAACCUACCUCUGCCAUAUUUUCCAAUUCUGAGGGCACCCUGGAUCUCUACAGCUGGAGCGCGAUUUCAAACCUAUGUUAAAUCUAUAAACAAUGAUUAAAGAAAAAGAAUGAAGACCUUCUCACUAUCUAGUUAACCAAGCCUUGGAGCCUCCCUAAAACCAAUGCUGAAACUAUUUUGCAACCCUUUCUUGCCAAAGCCAGCAUUUCCUUUUUGCAUCAUUGCAACAAAUUCAUUAUAAUCUAUGCAUCCAUCCUGCAAAAUAAAAAAUAAAAAACAACUAAGAUGAGCACAUCAUUUUCCUUAAUACAGAUUAAAGAUUUCAAUUAAAAUAGAUGUGAGAGUAAAAAAAUUACAUUGUCUUGAUCCACUUCUCUGAUCAUUUCUUCUAGUCGGACAUCUUCUAUACCAAACUCUUCGCAAGCCUGCUGCAGCUCAUCUUGAGUUAUGUAACCACUCCCAUCUUUGUCAAAAUAUGAGAAGGCAGCAAAUAAGUGAUCCUCCCUUUCAAUCUUGUUCAUAUGUAAAGUGGCAGCAAUAAACUCGCCAUAAUCAAUUGUACCACUGUUAUCAACAUCCGCCUGCAAUUUGCAUAGGAGAGAAAUUAUAAAAGAUGACGAGUAGAAUAUUAUACUGGUGCACUCUCUCAGAUAUAAUGAGUAUUUUGAGAAUGAGCAGUGACUAUCCACAGAUGAAACAAAUCAAAUAAAACUCAUUCUCCAUCAAAACUUAGAAGGGCUUACCCAAAAGUGUGACAUUUUACCAUAUGAAGCCAUGGUUUCACUAACUACAAUUGUCCAUAUUUAGAAUGAAUAGACUGUUACUUCCAUGCCUCAUCCUGAGGUAUCUUGGAUGCUAACAUUUAUCCUGUGUCAGUUAUUAUCAAUUGUUAUCACUUCACUAAUAUGGUGUAAUCAGGACAACAGAAUACACAGACCAUGUAUUAAGGUUUAAUUAAACAAUUCUUUUGGGUAAAAUUAUAUUUCCUAUGUUACCUUGAUGUCUCUUUGUUGUUAAAGUAUGGUUUAAAAUGCUUGUUGUAGUUACAACGUUACAUCCAUCAACAUAUACAUAUGCAUCUAACUAAUAAUUAAAUCUAGGGUGCUUAUAUACUUCAAAGUUCAAAAGAUACUUAUAACCACAACCAUCUAGCCUUUUCCCAACCACUUGGGGUUGGCUAGCACAAAAGAUACUUCAACACUAGAAAUCAGGUGCGUCAGUACUAAAAUCAAGUCAUCUUUAGUGUUCAAUAGUAUAUUAUUAACAUCUUGUUUUCAUAUUGAGGAUUCAUGCUAGCAUUAAUAUUGUAGAACAGUAUAUUUGUUCUUUUUGACACACUGAUCCAUGCAUGAUACAUCUAGACACUAAGAAUCUAUAACUCAUUCUGGAGCUUUGAUGAAAGCAGACCAUAUAGGUAAGUUAAGAACAACCCAUAUUUCCAACAAAUCAUCUUCCUUAAUAGCCAAAAUAAAUUAAAUGUGUUUUGUUUAAGCCUGGGAAUGAGUUUCAGGUAGCCGUCCAAGUCUACCUUUAAUCACCAUCUACUUUCAUCAUAAGCAGAUCAAAUUUAGUCUUUGGUAUCAACACUAGCAUUCCUGUGGAUGAAGUAGCUUCACUGCCUCCACUGCCUUCUUCAAGCAUCAACCAUGCUUGGAAAGAAAAGAUGAAGAAUAGACUCCAAGGGAUAUAUAGAAGAGUCAAAAGAUCACAAAUAAGAGAAUCCAGCCUUUUUACGUAUUAACGAGAAUCUUAAUACAUAUUCAAAGCAGGGAUGCUAGACAAAUAUAAAAGUUUCGAUACAAUAAACCAGGUAAUCCCAUUACCAUUUUUGUUUUCUGUUCAGCCUCUUCUUAACGAGAUUUGGCAUACAAAAUACAGAUUUAUGAGCUAUAGUUGGUUACUUCUCACUAGAGAAAAAAAAACAUUAACUAUCAAACAUGCAACAAUUCUAAUUCCAAUGAAUUUAAGUUGACACUUACCGCCUGCAUAAGUGCAUAAAUUUCUGACUCUUUAAGGUUAGCACCCACUCUUUUCAAUCCAGCCUUGAGUUCUUCAAAAGUGAUCUGUCCGCUAUUGUCUGUGUCUAUCAUCUUAAACAUCUCCUUGAGGCCAGCAAUUUCAUCCUCUGAGAGGCUUUCAGCAAUAACCUAUACAAUUUUUUUUAAAAAAAGUGAGAAAAGAGAACAAUGUGAAAUGAUGAUUAUAGCAGAGUGCAUGCGCUACGAAUUAUUAAAAUUUAUGAGGCAUGCUCACUGAAUCAAGUACAUGGAGUAGAAAUUAGAUGUUUAUUGUAAUAAUAAAAGCAGGCGGUAGACAAUGCUAGAUUUUGAAGAUAGGUGUAAACCAUUAAAAAUAGUAAAGCAACAAUGAAAAGGAAACAGAACAUAACAAAUUUUACAUACAUGGUUAGUUGAUAUAAUUACUAGAAGAAAUAGAAUUACUAAGAGGGGGUGCAACAUUUGCAAUUAUCAAGUACAUGUUGCACCACAUAGUGAUUUGAACCAUUGGUGAAGUCGUAAGGCAUAGUAGUCAGUGGAGCAUGUAUGUACUUUUUUAUGAUACAUUUCAUGGAAAUUAUAAAUUUUUAUUAAUACCACCAUAAGUAGUGCCAUAAAUAAUCAUACGUAUUUCUUUUCCGGGACUUGUAUUGCCAAAAAACUUUAAAGAAUAUAGUAAUACAGUAGUGAUGCCCUUAACUAAGAGGUAAAGGUGGCAAAAAGAAUAUAAUGCGGAAACAAUAUGUCAAAUAUAUCAACUAGGCAAGUCAGGCAUAGAUCAGGACUUCAAGUACCCCAUAAGUAAGGCAGGUGGAGUAUAGGUUAACAAGUUUACUCAUACAUUUCAGUAUAGGGGCUGAACUAACUGAUGCAAACUAUUUCCAUGUUUGCAAAACCAGCCAGCUUUUAUGACACUUUAAAACAAUAUAUGAAGCAAAGAGAUAAUUUUCACAGUUUAUGAAGACAUCAAAAAGCAACACAAAGCUCAAACAAGAGAACAUUGACUUCUUCAAAAGUAGGGGGGCAACAUUUGUGUAUAGAUUAUCGAAGUAAUUUGAUGGUGCCAAGAGGGCAUACCGGUCGAUGUCCGGUACAGUUCGGUACUAUACCGAACCGGUAGGGUGUAUUGGUUCACGGACCGCCACCCCCAAUUGUUUUUUGGAGUUUUCAAAAAAAAUAAUUGGUAAUUACUCUUUUUUAACUUUUUCAAUAAAUUUAAGUCUAAUUUGAUAUUUUUUUGAUUUUUUUAUUUUUUUAAAAUUCUGGUUAAACCUAGAUGAUGCAUCUUAUUACUUUAAAAUGAUACAAAUCAUAAAAUGAACAACGUAAAAUAUCUUCAAACCCAGUAAUGAUGUAAAAAUUAAAAAAAAAUUAUAUAAUCAAUUAUAUAUAUUUAAAAUUCAACAUACAUACUGAUACCUAAAAUUGAAUCGAGUGGCGAUACCUCUUGUAGAUAUCCGAAUCAUUAGCAUAGUCAGGAGGCACAUCAGCCUACCUAUCUAACCAAGAGGCGUAGUCUUGUAUGUUCAUUCUAUAAGGAACAUGUACCAAAUUAUAAGCACUCUCGGAUCUCUCGUUGGAGCUCUAGCUCUGAGAAGUGUCCUUUAGUUGAUAAUACGACAGUGGAGGGGCCCAUAUGAAUAUGUCGGCAGCAAACUUCGAUCCAUAAAACGCUCCAGGCUGCGUAGGAUAGUAGCACCAGAAGAUGCCUCAGACACACCAUAUCCAUAUCCAUUUACAUAUAGAUCAUAGGUUGUAUGUGGCUGCGGAUAAUAGGAUCCAAUAUACGACUCGAAACCUGAUACGUCUAUGGAUCCUACUCCACGUGCGAGAUCAUCUGCAGUUGCAUCGUGUCCUUUUGAAUGAUCUUGAAGAGCCCGUCUUUUCUUAUUUUACAAUUUUUGAACUAUUUUUUCAAGCCAACCCUCAAAAAAGAAGGAAAGAAGAUAGGAGAGAGGAAGCACACCUUAGUUAGCCUUGAAUCUUCCUUCUGAUAGCUUAAAUCAGUGUUGUUUGUGGAUUUUUGGAAAAGAAAAAAUGGCGGAGCCGCUUUCAAAUUGCAUUUGGAAGGCCUUCUCGGGCCUUUCGAACGCCAAAAGGCCUUAAGUGGCAGUGGCAAUAAUGCCAUACCCAACUCGGUUUGAAACCGGGUUGACUUGGUGCAAACUGGCCGGUUCGCACCGAGUCGGCACCGAAUUGACCGAUUCCGGUCGGUUCCGGUCGGUAGAGGACCGAUUCUAGCGAUCCAAUAGCAGUUUCGUCCGGAACCGAAUAGGAUUGCCGACCCGAUCCGGUUUCGCACUGAGUAGGCUCAGUAAUGCCUAAACCGGGCUGUUCGGCCCGGUUCGGCAUUCCCUGGUGCCAAGUAUGUCAAGUUUGAGCCAAUAAAAGAUCAAAUAACAACAAAUGAGAUUUCACAAGAAACCUGAAUCUUGAAAUCCUGCCAUUUGCUAAUUUACACCUUGUUACACUCUUUCCUUCUUUCCCAAUGGCAAGGACCUCAUUCUCGCCAGCUCACUCCCACUUCAAGUUUGCUAACACUCUUCCCAUUUCCUUUUCCAAUAUAACAACCUCCAUUCCUUCUGUUAGUUGGCACCAGCACUGCUUAACCUUACACUUUCUAAAGUCCAACUUUCUUAGACAAAGGAGGGGGCAGCGAUGAGAUGAGGAAGGGGUGAAGGUGGAAAGGAGGCAUAGAAUGCAAUAAGCAUACCAAAAUAAGGCAAAGAUGGAGAGAAUGUAGGUUGAGAGGAACAUGCAAUUCUGGAUGUAAAGGUGGAAGAAGGGGAAGGUAGACUGGAGUACAUGACUGCAGCAGAUGUGUAUGAAGAGGUGUGAGGAGAGGAGUGGCCAUAGCCCUGGAAUGAGAAACAUGGAACACUAGAAAUCAAAAUGUUUUUAGGACCCAUUUUUUUCUCGAUUGAGAAAGGAAGGGAAGAUAGUAAAUUACCAACUCCAAAUACUUAGAGAUGCACCACCGAAAACUCAAACCCAGAACAAGCUCCAAGGAGAGGAGGGGGAGUGAUUACUGGGGCAUCACCCAAUUCACAAUGUACGUAGGACUUUAAGCAUCAUUGUGUCCACCAAAUUUCUAUAUCAAUAAUCGUAAGAAAACAUUGAUAAUCCACAAGGAGUAUUUAAUCAAUUUAAGAAGAAAAGGAUUUCAAAAAUGUUUUACUAGAAAAUAUGGGUCUAGACAUGCAUGACAAUGCAUAUUGCCCCUUCUCUAUACAACAUAAAUUUGCAUAAUCAGAUAUUCAUAAAAGGCCCAACAUUUAUUACUUGUUGGUCACAUAUAAGAAUCACUGUUGUUGGUAUAUAUAAUUAUUUUCCAAGAACUGCACAAAUUAACACCGUCUUUAAUUUAUGAGCUUCCUGAAUUCCAGAACUUACUCUGAGAGCCAUCUUCUUAAGCUUGUUCAUUGCAGAGAAUUGCUUCAAGCGAGACAGAACUGCAGAAUCCAGAGGCUUAUCGAGAGCAACACCAUCAACCUGAACCCAAGGAUGGCCUGCAAGAAAGAUGACAGUUUGAAUGAUCUUAGAUCAUAAACUCUGUGACAUGAAUCUAAGCUGAGCAAUCAUAUUUUUCCUCAGAGAGAUAAAAUUCACUUUUAUUUGCAACUUCCAUUUACAACUGUUCAGAAAUUUCAUCAAAAAUUGCAUAAUAUAAUAGAUCAA
This 18328-nucleotide long non-coding RNA is filed under the name Phoenix dactylifera (date palm). RNAcentral's name for it is "long non-coding RNA (PDAC_LNC003217)". The record is from RNAcentral. Lineage: Eukaryota; Viridiplantae; Streptophyta; Magnoliopsida; Arecales; Arecaceae.